RNAcentral lists this ribosomal RNA (301 nucleotides) under uncultured bacterium. RNAcentral's name for it is "partial 16S ribosomal RNA". It matches the Rfam family "Bacterial small subunit ribosomal RNA", at positions 509 to 807 of the family's 1533-position model. The record is from RNAcentral.
CAGCAGCCGCGGGAAAACAGAGGGUGCAAGCGUUAAUCGGAUUUACUGGGCGUAAAGGGCGCGUAGGUGGUUAUUUAAGUGAGAUGUGAAAUCCCCGGGCUUAACCUGGGAACUGCAUCUUAUACUGGGUAACUGGAGUGCGGUAGAGGGUAGUGGAAUUUCCGGUGUAGCGGUGAAAUGCGUAGAUAUCGGAAGGAACACCAGUGGCGAAGGCGGCUACCUGGACUGAGACUGACACUGAGGCGCGAGAGCGUGGGGAGCAAACAGGAUUAGAUACCCCAGUAGUCCCUGUCUCUUAUAC